Molecule: ribosomal RNA, 504 nt
Filed under: uncultured archaeon
Lineage: Archaea
Description: bacterial SSU rRNA
Rfam family: Archaeal small subunit ribosomal RNA
Source: RNAcentral
CAGCAGGCGCGAAAACUUUACAAUGCAGGAAACUGUGAUAAGGGAACCUCGAGUGCCCGUAAACACGGGCUGUCCAGGUGUUUAAAAAGCAUCUGAAGAAAGGGCCGGGCAAGACCGGUGCCAGCCGCCGCGGUAAUACCGGCGGCUCGAGUGGUGGCCGCUAUUAUUGGGCUUAAAGCGUCCGUAGCUGGAUUGUUAAGUCUCUUGGGAAAUCCGACGGCUCAACCGUCGAGCGUCUAAGGGAUACUGGCAAUCUUGGGAUAGGAAGAGGUGAGAGGUACUCCGGGGGUAGAAGUGAAAUUCUGUAAUCCUCGGGGGACCACCUGUGGCGAAGGCGUCUCACUAGGACUACUCCGACAGUGAGGGACGAAAGCUGGGGGAGCAAACCGGAUUAGAUACCCGGGUAGUCCCAGCCGUAAACGAUGCGCGUUAGGUGUAUCGGUAACCACGAGUUACCGAGGUGCCGAAGGGAAACCGUGAAACGUGCCGCCUGGGAAGUACGUC